AGGAUGAACGCUGGCGGCGUGCUUAACACAUGCAAGUCGAGCGAAGCAGUUUUAAGGAAGUUUUCGGACGGAAUUAAAAUUGACUGAGCGGCGGACGGGUGAGUAACGCGUGGGUAACCUGCCUCAUACAGGGGGAUAACAGUUGGAAACGACUGCUAAUACCGCAUAAGCACACAGUGCCGCAUGGUACGGUGUGAAAAACUCCGGUGGUAUGAGAUGGACCCGCGUCUGAUUAGGUAGUUGGUGAGGUAACGGCCCACCAAGCCGACGAUCAGUAGCCGACCUGAGAGGGUGACCGGCCACAUUGGGACUGAGACACGGCCCAAACUCCUACGGGAGGCAGCAGUGGGGAAUAUUGGACAAUGGGGGAAACCCUGAUCCAGCGACGCCGCGUGACUGAAGAAGUAUUUCGGUAUGUAAAGGUCUAUCAGCAGGGAAGAAAAUGACGGUACCUGACUAAGAAGCCCCGGCUAACUACGUGCCAGCAGCCGCGGUAAUACGUAGGGGGCAAGCGUUAUCCGGAUUUACUGGGUGUAAAG
This 539-nucleotide ribosomal RNA is filed under the name uncultured bacterium. RNAcentral describes it as "bacterial SSU rRNA". It matches the Rfam family "Bacterial small subunit ribosomal RNA", at positions 26 to 565 of the family's 1533-position model. The record is from RNAcentral.